RNAcentral lists this ribosomal RNA (253 nucleotides) under uncultured prokaryote. RNAcentral describes it as "partial 16S ribosomal RNA". It matches the Rfam family "Bacterial small subunit ribosomal RNA", at positions 524 to 776 of the family's 1533-position model. The record is from RNAcentral.
CACGUAGGGGGCAAGCGUUGUUCGGAAUUAUUGGGCGUAAAGGGCAUGUAGGCGGUUUCGUAAGCCUGGUGUGAAAUCCUGCAGCUUAACUGCAGAAUUGCAUUGGGUACUGCGAGACUUGAAUCACAGAGGGGAAACUAGAAUUCCAGGUGUAGGGGUGGAAUCUGUAGAUAUCUGGAAGAAUACCGGUGGCGAAGGCGGGUUUCUAGCUGAUGAUUGACGCUGAGGUGCGAAAGUGCGGGGAGCAAACAGG